AGCAAAGCCGCGAGGUAGAGCAAAUCUCAAAAAAACAAUCUCAGUUCAGACUGCAGGCUGCAACUCGCCUGCACGAAGUCGGAAUUGCUAGUAAUCGUAGGUCAGCAUACUACGGUGAAUACGUUCCCGGGCCUUGUACACACCGCCCGUCACACCAUGGGAGUCGGUAACACCCGAAGCCAGUAGCCUAACCGCAAGGAGGGCGCUGUCGAAGGUGGGAUUGAUGACUGGGGUGAAGUCGUAACAAGGUACC
RNAcentral lists this ribosomal RNA (253 nucleotides) under uncultured bacterium. RNAcentral describes it as "partial 16S ribosomal RNA". It matches the Rfam family "Bacterial small subunit ribosomal RNA", at positions 1248 to 1500 of the family's 1533-position model. The record is from RNAcentral.